This is a long non-coding RNA of Anolis carolinensis (green anole), 18276 nucleotides long. RefSeq lists it as uncharacterized. The record is from RefSeq and is a predicted model, not a curated record. The transcript is spliced from 2 exons. Lineage: Eukaryota; Metazoa; Chordata; Lepidosauria; Squamata; Anolidae.
UUUCAUACCUUUUUUUCAGGGAAUGCGUUAUAUAGCCAGUGUUUGGUGUCAAGAAGUAGAGAAUGUGUUUGGAGAACACUUCUAUGACUUUUAAUUAAAGUAUCUUUAGGCUCAGGUAUGAAAUAUUUGCAGGGCAUGUAUAUAUAUAUAUACACCCACAGAGUGUAACAUGUAACUAUUAUAAUUGUAGAUAUAAGUAUUGUAACUUGUAGCAAUCAUGUAAAAAGAUGAGCCAAACUUCACAGAUUUCUUUCUUGUUUGAUACAAAUGUACAUGUAACUAAAUCAACACUCCACUGUUUCUGGAAUAUCAUUUUAAUCAGUAUAAUGGUAUUAUAUAUUAUUUAUAUAUUAUAUAUAUUUAUUAUUUAUUAUAUAUUAUUAAUCAGUAUAAUGACAUUAUUAUUAUUUUAUACUGUUGUAUUUUAUUUUAUGGUGUUGGGCUUGGCCCCACGUGAGCUGCCCUAAGUCCCUUCGGGGAGAUGGGGCGGGAAAUAAUAAUAAUAAUAAUAAUAAUCUAUUUUUAUUGACUCUUCAUUUUGGUUGCCUUUUUUAAAAAGUAACAAAAAUUUUGAAGCAUUGCAAUAACAGCCUGUUUUAUAUCUACUGUAAAUUGCAUUGAAGCCUUCUCUGCCACUGGGUAUUCCAUACUUGCACAAGUGAGUCAUGUUUGACAAAUGUCUUCAUAUGAGAUGUUUGAGAAAGUAUUGACUUGUAGCCAAAGGAGGAAUUAGUUUGAAAACCAUGGUCUGGCUGAAGGCACUAGUGUGGGAUUAGGAAGAAAAAAAAAUAAAGAUAACAUGUAUUUCGGUGCCUUUGAAAGGUUAUGAGGAGAGGAUAUGUAAACUUCAUUGGUAACAUGCUUGGCUAGAUGAAGAUGUGGAAUCAUUUCAGUUUAUAUGUUAGGAAAUUUAUAUCUAUAGUUAUGUUACCGCUGCCUUGGUCUGGUUAUAAUACACAUGGUAUGCAAAUAGAAGUUUCUUUAUUUUUUCACACUUGACAUGCUUCUGGGUCUCAUUUUGUUUUAGAAACACUAUUUCUCAAGAUCCUGAUAGUGCAGUAUUCCAUACUUUCACUAGCAGCAUUAGAAGAGUAUUGCUUUAUCCAUUCAUAUUUUGCUCUGUCCUAAAUGAUACUCUUUAGGGAGUAAGUCAACCUUUGCUUCCUAUGAUAGAUUAAGUACUAAAAUAAUAAUGUUUUAUUAUUAUUGUUAUUUUAUUGUAUGACACAGCAAACAAGAUCUAUACGCUGGAUUUCGUAUCACAAAAUCACAAGUCGAACACUUCCCAAGUGUCUAGGACUGUGUGAUGUAAUAUUAUUAUUAUUAUUAUUAUUAUUAUUAUUAUUAUUAUUAUUAUUAUUAUUCUUACCUGCCUCCUUGUGGCUAAAGGUGGGUCACAACACAGUCAAAGCACACAAACAGUGCAAGAAUUCUAUAAACACAAUAUUAAAAUGUAUUUCUAUAAAAUAUGUAUUAAAUACAAUGUAUAUUAGCAUGUAAUAUACACACAAGGAAGUUGGGCUUUUCACUAAGCAUAGCUGAAAUAGAGAUGAUCAUAAUUCUUACUUUCUGAACUUCUGUUAAUAUAAAAGCACAAGGGAUUUUAACUAUCAUCCCUAAAUGAGCUAGUGCAUUUGCCCUUUUUGCAACCUUUCAAAAUUUAAGUGGUCAACAAAUGUGAUUGUUUUAGAAGAUUUUAUUAGUACUGCAUUGCUGAGAGAUGAAAGUGCAUUCAUCAUACUUGCCUUUAUGAAAAUGGCAGUCCCUAGAAUGUCUUCUGAUAAGUAAGACAGAAUACUCCUGUAUGAAGGAGAAUUCUAUGUGUCGAGAUGAAGAAAUAUGUUUCCUUUAGCUUCCUCAUUUGUCUAAUCCUUUUAUACCAUCUGGUAUUUUCGCAAAUGAUCUCCACAAAUCCUCCUGAUUACCCUUGCAGAAUAAAUUCUGAUAGAAGGUUGUAGUAUUGAUCCUACCAUAAUGUAUGGUAAAUGUCACUUAUUACUCUCCAUAUUUUAAAAGCUUGUGCUUUUCAUAGUCCAGGUGCAUGAGGUACAGGUAUAGCCCAUGUAUAGCCAACCUGAUGUAUUCAACAAUAAGAAAUACAGUUGUCUCCAACUUAUAUUCCAAUUGUGAAUCUGUAUCCAGGUUUUGGUUUGUGAAGUGGAACCUAGUCUCCUAUUAGAAUUAAACAUUCUUGAACAAAUCACUUUCCUGCUUGGCCUGAAAAAAUGUAAAAAAUAUCACUUCAAUAGUCAUAUGCUGAUUGUGGCAAUGCAUUUUAAUGGACUGUGUGUAAACAAAUACACAUCUGCACUACACUUUCAAACAGAGUGGCAGUGAAAUCUUAGAAGUCCUCAUGUAUUCAUGUAAAUACUGAUAUCAGCGGGUAGGGCCUGAAAAAUCUCCCCUUUCUAUGGUUCUACUUCCUUUAAAGGCAAUAGUUUAAUAAUUCAAUGAAAAAAUUCCAAGGUUAUGACACGACUGUUCCUUUGACGGUGCUGCCAGGAUCGUAUCGCAACGGAAACUGCUAAAGGGAAUGGCAUCCAUAACUUUUUUAUUUUGAAUGUCAUCCAUAACUAUAUCACCAUUUUUCCAAGACCUUUUAUCCUAGCCCGAGGCCAUGAGAUAUAAAACAAGGCCAAUUCCAAAAAAUAUUCCCUCUUAUAUCAUUUUAAUCAUGUUCCUGCUUCAUUAGCUGUCCUUUAUUCUUUACUUUUAAGUGUCUUGUUCUGCUCAGUCUUUUUUCUAUUCAGUUAAAUUUCUGGAAACAGUAAUAACUGUUGCCCUUUCAGAAAUGUGCCAGUUUAGAAAUAUUGGAACUAUACUGUUGCCUUUGUUUUUGCUUAAAAUAAGCAGAAAAGAGGGGUCUCCUUAUGAAAACAUGAGCAAAAGAAAGGUGUAUUUCACUUAACAAAGUAAAUACGUUCUUGAGCCUUACUUCUUCAACGGAAUAUUUUGGUAGCAGAAGCAGAAAUAACAUGAAAAUAACAGCAAUAGGUUUCUAUACCACCAUAAAGAACACACACAAAAUGAAGAGCAGUUCAACAUAUCUCAGCAUAUAUUUUAUUCAAAUAUAACAAUGUGAAUGUUUGAAAUGAAACAAGGAGGUCAGGUAAGCCUUUCAUCAGUAAGCAAGAAUGUUGAAGCUUCUAGAGACAGCUUGAAAGCUUAUUUCCAAAUACCGUAUAUGCAGGAUUUCUUUUUUUUCACCUCCCUCCACUUUUCUUUUGAUUUCCACUUUGGCGGCCAAGUCUCCAAGGUUGGUUUUUGUUUUUGGUUUUUUUAGACAUAUUGCAGGGAGGGACAAGGUUAUUUGCUUCCCUCAUUUCUCUCUCUUAACAUCUAUUCAUGGAUGUUCAUUAAGGAAUUCUGGAAGCAGUUGCUGUUUACUAUGCCUGGAGCAGGCACAAAUAUCUGCAGUUGGAUCAAUGAAAAUAGAAUCCCAUUCUUUCUCAGUUAAAGAUUUAUUUGCAUUUCUUACUCUAGACAAGACAUGCUACUACAACCUGAUACUCUGUUUUUCUAGCCCUUCUUUACCAACCUAUCAAUAUUGAUUCUGCUAAAAAAACAACAACUUCUAACUAGACAGAGAAGAAAGAGGAAAAGUGAGACUGUGGGUAUAAAGAUUUUAUAAAAACCUUUUUUUACUUACCUUGUGCCAGAGAUACUAGUAUAUCCUUCUAGAAUCAAUAUCCUCUUAUUUGAUAACAUGAUAACAUUAUCCAUUUCGUUAUGCAAGUCAAACAACAAGUUGUAAAGUACAGGGUGUUUGAAAAAGAACCCCCUAGUUUCCAUUUAAAGUAAAUGGAAACUAGGGAGUUCUUUUUCAAACACCCUGUAGAUUUCCAGAUCUUAAAAAAUCCUCUUCUUCAGUUAUCCUGCAGCACCCUCAACCUUAUCCUGAGUUUUUCCCCCUUUAUAGUUUAGAAAAGGUAAACCUGGUAAACCAUGCAAUGUAAGAGUAGAUAAACAAAAAAAAAAGUAUACAGAUGGCAAAUUAGUAAACUGUAUAGAAUGUUAUCAAGCUCAAAAGGGAAAAAAUAUAGAUUCCUGCUUAUCGAAGGGGCGGGGAGAGAGACAAAAAAAUAAAUACUUAACAAAACAGAAAUGUCAAAAAAGUAAAGAAAAUGUGACUGUGCCUAUACCUAUAAGUAUUUGUGUAAAAGACAAAAAUAAACGGUAAAUACUGUUAAAUGGACUGGUCCAUGAGGUCACGAAGAGUCGAAAACGACUGAACAAGUGAGACGAUGACGACUGUUAAAUUAUACGUCUCUCCGCCAGAGGUCACUCUUCUGCAAGGCUUCCACUCAAAAUUAUUAUUUUUCCCCAAAUACUCUCUUGUUCCCAAUUUCUUCCAACUGUCUAAGCAGGAAGCAAACCUGACCAUUGUCUUGAGGAGCCUUGAUCAGAUCGAAGGGAUCUAGUUCAGUGACAGGGAGGAGCCUUGAUAUUCAUAUUAUUUGAAUAAUAUCAGUAUAAUAGCCUUAUAGUUGUCAUCUAAAUAUAUGUGCCUUUGGAAUCAUUCCAAAAAAGGCUUGGUUUUCCCUUGCAAGAACAGUGUAAUAUUAAUCCACUUUCUAAGAUGCCCCGUCCAAGAAUUGGAUUUCCCUCGCGAGAGUGGUGUAAUUUUAAUCCAUUUUCUAAGAUGCCCCAUCUAAGGAUUGCCUUUCCCUUGCAAAAGACUGCACCAUGUGUCAAAAUGAGAGGAGAGUACAAUGGUUCCCUUUCCACGUGCUUUCCAGCUGGUACAAUGGAUCUAGAAUGCAGUUAGAGCUCUGAAGACGAUUGCUCCUCAGUGUUGAGAGUUUACCCCUUUUCCCACAAUUUCUCUCCAGUUCAACAAUACGGUGACAAAAAUGAAGACUGGAAGUAUUAUGGAUUUUUUUUCGUGUCAGGAGCUACUUGAGAAACUGCAAGUUGUUUCUGGUGUGAGAGAAUUGGCCGUCUGCAAGGAUGUUGCCCAGGGGACGCCCGGAUGUUUUUGAUGUUUUAUCAUCCUUGUGGGAAGCUUCUCUCAUGUCCCUGCAUUAUUUAUUUAUUUAUUUACAGUAUUUAUAUUCCGCCCUUCUCACCCCGAAGGGGACUCAGGGCGGAUCACAUUAUACACACACAGGGCAAACAUUCAAUGCCCAUAAACACAUCAAACAGAGACCGAGACAGACAGAUGCAGAGGCAGUUUAACCUGACGGCACUUCCUCAUUCCAGGUCGUAAAUUAGUUAAACUUACCUCCCCACUUUUUUUUAUAAGUGGUACCUUAUUUCCUACUUAAUAGAUGCAACUAUCUUUCGGGUUGCCAGGUCAACCACAAGCAGGGGCUAUUUUUUAUUUUUUAUUGACGGGUGCUCACCCCGCCACGGGCUGGCCUCGAACUCAUGACCUCAUGGUCAGAGUGAUUUAUUGCAGCUGCUCAACAGCCUGCGCCACAACCCUGCAUGGAGCUGGAGCUGAUAGAGGGAGCUCAUCCACGCUCUCCCCGGGUGGGAUUCGAGCCUGUCAGCUUUCAGAUCAGCAACCCAACCUUCAAGUCACAAGGCUUUAAUCCACUACGCCAUCGGGGGCUCAAGUAUUAUGGAUGUGUUGUGGGAUGGCAUCUGUGCCUCUCCAUCAUUGAACUAGAGCAAAAAUGUCCCACAGUGGAAAAAACUGUCCGAUUCAUGAGAUCGUCACAGACAGAAGACUGGAUAAGCCUCCAACUCCAGGCUUUUCCAUCUCUUCUGAGGCUUGAAAAAAAGAAACAGCAGAACAGCAACGACCAAUGAGGGAAGAUGCAGGGAUUUCCAACCUUGCCAGCAUCCAUUGAUCACCCCAUGAUCAUCAUAUAUGUUGGAUCUCCACAGCACUUAAUAUCUUCCUCCUCCUACCUUGGUUCUAACCUCUGCAAUUGGAGGGUGAGAUCCAGGAUACACCAUUGGUUUUAGGGUGAUUCCAACAGCAUUUUACUAAACCUAAAUCAGCCUCUUUAAUUCUAGAGUGCCACUCUUCUUAUUUCCACGGCUUUUCAUCACUGUUUUCACCACUUCUUUGCAACCGAGAUUAUUGCCCAGGUUGGAUAUGUUGUGAAGUGAAGCUUCUUGAAAUAACUACUUCAUGUGGCUGUGUUACACAAUACAACAGCUAAUGGGAAAAAAUAAUAAUUGCUUUUUUCCCAAUAUUGUAAGAGUAAAUAAUACCGAAUAGAACCAGCAAGUGGUGUUGCAGUACUGCAGUGUUUCCUCAAGGACGAAGUAAUCCAAUGAGUAGGUAAGCAGGACAUGCCACACAGCAAUAAUGGAUCUUUGUACCCUUUUUCUUUGUUGUCGUUGCAACUGUGGCUCUGGAAAGGUGAAACUUCUGUUUUUGCUUUUAAUCUCUGCAUCUGACACAGUGCAGCUGCAGACAGCAGGGGGAAGAGUUUGCCAAAUUACCAGCCUCUGGGAAACAUACACACAUGCAAUUUGCACGCAGAUACACACACAAAAAUGUCAUUACCAAUGACAAAUCAAAGCUGAAAGUUUGCUUUGCCUGUUGUCAUUCAUUGCCAUUCAUAUUUAGAAAGUAGACUGCUGUGAUAAUUGAUUUGAUGGUCCAACUUGAGUGGAAGCACUUCUGGGCAUAGCAGGCCUCACAGAUGCCAAAAAAGAAGAAAGGUGGGAAUGAAAUAAUGCACUACUUUCUCCUUAGAGGCAUGUGGCCCAGUUUUGAGAAAAGAAAAACAUCCUUUGGAAGAAGGGGGAGAAGAAAACUUUAAGAACUCAGCAAUAAAAUACAAAAAUGACCCUCAGCCUCAUAAAAAUAGACAUUCAAACACAGAUAAUGGGAGGAGAUAUUUUACUGGCAGAUGAAUAAUGGAAGAAUGUUGGGAAAAUAAUAUGAAUUUUAGUGGAAUCCAUCUAUGGGGUAUCUCUCCCUCCCUCUUCCCUUGGUGUUGUUUUGGUGAGGACAGAAUUGAUACCCCUUUUAUAUUGAUAUAUGUUCAGUACAGAAUUAAUAGCCAAAAUGUUCACCUCCCUCCUCCCCAAAUAAAACAAUAAUUGAGAUUGAAAGCAGUGUAGGAAUACAGUAGAGUCUCACUUAUCCAAGUUUCUGGAUUAUCCAAGCCAUUUUUGUAGUCAGUGUUUUCAAUAUAUCGUGAUAUUUUGGUGCUAAAUUCGUAAAUACAGUAAUUACAACAUAACAUUACUGUGUAUUGAACUGCUUUUUCUGUAAAAAUUUGUAGUUAAACAUGAUGUUUUGGUGCUUAAUUUGUAAAAUCAUAACCUAAUUUGAUGUUUAAUAGGCUUUUCCUUAAUCCCUCCUUAUUAUCCAAGAUAUUCGCUUAUCCAAGCUUCUGCCGGCCCAUUUAUCUUGGAUAAGUGAGACUACUGUAUAUGGCCACUCCUAAGGUUAUUUACUUGAAACAUGAUUUGAUUAUGGAACUUGUCCUUAUUCUGAAGAGUGCAGAGAGGUGUUAUUACCUUUAGCUCCCCCAACCAGCCAACUGAUAUGAAUAACUUAGAAAGCUACAGUGACAAAUGAGAGAGAAACAGAUAAAACAGGUACUCAAUUCAGUGCAUGACCCAACAACAAUCUCGGCCAUUUGCCCUGUCAUCAAUUCAGGGAGUGAAGUAAAAGCAGAUGAAAGAUGUGAGCGGAAACAUCACAUGUUUUAAUAAUAGAUUCAUAGGGUUAGAAGGGACCACAAGGGUCAUUUGGUCCAACCCCCUACCAUGAAGGAAUACAGAAACGGUUUGCCUUCAGAAAGGAGUCUAGAUUGUCUAGAUUGAAGAGAGUAAUAGUACCAUUCUAUUUCUCACAUAUAAUACUGUGUCAAAUUCUGGACAGUACAAUUCAAGCAGGAUAUUGACAAGCUAGAGAAGAGAGAUAAAAAUGGUAAAAGGUAUGGAAGUUGUGUCCUAUUAGAAGUGGCUUGAGGAUAUGUCUAACCUGAAGAAAAGAUUAAAAGGCGGCAUGAUAGCCAGGAAGACAUCUUUCCACCAUGUCUCUUCUAUCAAUUUUAACUAUAUAAUAAUAUAUAAUACUCAUAUUAUACUAUACUAAUAUUAUAAUAUAUUGUAUAUACAUAUAAUAUUGAUAAUAUUAUGAUGUAAUGCAGUGUAAUAAUAAUAAUAAUAAUAAUACACUAUUAUAACAAUACUAGCUGUGCCCGGCCACGCGUUGCUGUGGCGUUGUCUGGUGGUGUCUGUAUUUUAUAGGCAGUGUGGAAGAGGCCUAAGUGAGGCCUAACUUUGCCUGUCCCCUGGGCUGAGUGGGUUGCUAGGAGACCAAGUGGGCGGAGCUUAGCCUUCUAAAUGGCAGCAAUUGGAUAAAAACAAUUAUUCCUCUCCCUCUAAUUAGGACUUUAUUUUUCUUUUCUUUUUGUUGUAUCAACCUAGAGACAUGGAUAAGGGGUUGUGCUGUCAAUUUUUGAGGUUGUGAGGUGUUUAGUUUUGUUGUUUUGUCGGUCGCCAGGAUUCCAUCACUCUUUUAUAUAUAUAGAUUAUAAUUAUAUUUAUAUCACAUGUAAUAUUACUAAUAAUUUUGCAAUAUACAGUAGAGUCUCACUUAUCCAACAUAAACGGGCUGGCAGAAUGUUGGAUAAGCGAAUAAGUUGGAUAAUAAGGAGGGAUUAAGGAAAAGCCUAUUAAACGUCAAAUUAGGUUAUGAGUUUACAAAUUAAGCACCAAAACAUCAUGUUAUACAACAAAUUUGACAGAAAAAGUAGUUCAAUACGCAGUAUUAAUAUGUAGUAUUUACUGUAUUUACGAAUUUAGCACAAAAAUAUCACGAUGUAUUGAAAACAUUGACUACAAAAAUGCGUUGGAUAAUUCGGAACUUUGGAUAAGUGAGUGUUGGAUAAAUGAGACUCUACUGUAGUUGUAUAGUACAAUAUAAUAAUAUAUAAUGCUUAUAUGGUGCUUAUCUUGUGCUAUACUAAUAAUAUAAUAUGUAUAUAUAACUUGUAAGCCGCCCUGAGUCCCCUUCGGGGUGAGAAGGGUGAGAUAUAAAUGUCGCUAAUAAAUAAUAAUAUUUGAAAGGGAAUCACAUUGAAUAAAGAUGGAGUGUGUUUAUGCCUUCAAGUUGCUUGUCAACUUAUGGUGACCCCCAUGAAUUUUAUAGAGUUUUCUUAGGCAAGAAAUGUUUAGAGGUGCUUUUGCCCAUUAUUUCCUGUGAAAUAUAGCCUAUAGUACCCGCUAUUCAUUGGCAGUCUGCCAUCAAGUACCAAUUAGGGAGGAACCUGCUUAGCUUCCAAGAAUAUAGUGUUUGGAGGGUAUUUAGACCUUCAGUUUGAACAUAAAUGUCCAGAAAUGAAAGCUAAUCUUACAUGCACCAGUCUGAUCCUCCAAAUUCUUUAAAUGAUACUAGCUCAAAUUCCCCUGCUGCAAUUUUUGUAAGUGAAGCUUUUUUUAAUGUUGGCGUUAACUCACCAUUGUGUGGAAGUCUUUUAUGAAAGUACGUUAUCUAUAAUAAGCCUAGUGAGCAGCCUGUAUGAUAUUGGUAGAUAGAAACCUUUUAAACAUUAUCAGCUUGACGCGUGUUAAAUCUUUGGCAGUUGAAAAUAGAAAAUGAAUAGCAGUUUCAACCAGAUGUAGUAUUUUAACUCUGUUGUAAACAAAAUUUCAUUCUCCUAGUGCCGAGGCGCUCUCAUUUCAGGAACGUCCGCACUGAAAGGCAUGAGUGAGCCUAAUAAUUUCACCCCUGAGUGUUCAUAUACAAGGAGCUUCAAAGAGUAUUCAGUGGGGAAUGUGCAAGGUAUUAAAAUAUAAACUACAUAGAAUACCGGUCAAAAGAUCUUCAGACCAUAUAUAUCGAAACUCAUUUGUUUCACUUUCCAAAAAAUCGUAGUAGUCUAAUAAUAUCUGACUUUAAUGUUUUAUUUAUUUGUUUUUAUAUUGUUGUGUUUUUUAUAUUGUCUGUAUUCACCUGGGCUUGGCCCUAUGUAAGCUGCCCCGAGUCCGUUCGGGGAGAUGGAGACGGGGUAUAAAUAAUAAUAAUAAUAAUUAUUAUUAUUAUUAUUAUUAUUAUUAUUAUUAUUAUUUUAUUGUAUGACACAGCAAACAAGAUAGACAUGCUGGAUUUCAUAUCACAAAAUCAAAAGUCGAACACUUCCCAAGUGUCUAGGACUGUGUGAUGUAUUUUUGGAUGGUGCGUGCAGAUCCCAGUAGGGUGACCUUUUGCAGUUGGCAGAUCAUAAUUUUGUCAAUGUCUAUUGUUUCCAAAUGCCAGCUGAGAUCUUUUGGCAUGGCACUCAGUGUGCCGAUCACCACCGGGACCACCUCUACUGGUUUCUGCCAGAAUCUUUGAAGUUCAAUCUUGAGGUCCUGAUAGCGGCUGAGUUUUUCCUGUUGUUUUUCAUCAAUGCGACUGUCACCUGGGAUGGCGACAUCAAUGAUCCAAACCUUUUUCUUUUCCACAACUGUGAUGUCUGGUGUGUUGUGUUCCAGAACUUUCUCAGUCUGGAUUUGGAAGUCCCACAGUAUCUUUGCGUGCUCAUUUUCCAAUACUUUUGCAGGUUUGUGAUCCCACCAGUUCUUUACUGCUGGGAGGUGGUACUUGUGGCAUAAGUUCCAAUGAAUCAUUUGGGCCACAUAGUUGUGCCUCUGUUUGUAGUCUGUCUGUGCAAUUUUCUUACAAUAGCUGAGGAUAUUAUCAAUGGUUUCAUCAGCUUCCUUGCACAGUCUGCAUUUUGGGUCAUCAGCUGAUUUUUCGAUCUUGGCCUGAAUUGCCUUUGUCCUGAUGGCUUGCUCCUGGGCUGCAAGGAUCAGGCCUUCUGUCUCCUUCUUCAGGGUCCCAUUCGUGAGCCAGAGCCAGGUCUUCUCCCUAUCAGCUUUUCCUUCAAUUUUGUCAAGGAACUUUCCAUACAAUGUAUUAUUAUUAUUAUUAUUAUUAUUAUUAUUAUUAUUAUUAUUAUUAUUACUAUUAUUAUCAUCAUCCCUGUGCACUGUCAGAUGGACACUACAUUCUGGGAUAGUUCCUGGCCAUCACUGAGUAUAUUUGCUAGCAUUGCCUUCCUCCUUGGUCAUGCUUUGCUGAUAUCUCCAGAGUUUCAUGUCUGUCUCCCACGAUGAUGGAAGGGCAACACAUUCCAGAUAUUUCUCCUUUUCUCUGAGCUACCAUGCAUUGAGAAAAGAGGAUGGUGGAACUGGUCUGUUUGAAUAGUGAACUGGUGCUACCCACCCUCACCCCAAAGUGCAAUGUUGCUCAGCAAGGUCCGGAAGAUUCCAUGUCUGCGUAAUUCAUGUUAAACCAAGUCCUUGGGCAUCAACUAGACAUCUAGGCUCAACUUCUGAUCCAAUGCAACAUAUAGGGCCUGUGUGGACAUGCCUUGAGACAUCAACCUAAAUGAACCAUUUAUAUUCCUGUUAAUGUCCAAGGUGCAAUUGUGAUCUUAUCUAUAUGUGGUGAACAGAAACAUUUCAGACUCUGAAAUCCAGUUGUAUGUUCACUGGUUGUAGACUGACCCAUUCAUGUCUAUGCGAGCAUUUUUACAUGACCAUCAUAUUUUUGUUUUUACAGUUGUUUUGUUUGUUUAACAAACCUUCUGAACCCUCUUCUGAAUUAAAAUACGAAAUUCACUUCUCCAAAGUGGAAAACUUGAAUUUGAAAAUAUAUAAUGGGGUUAGAGGGUGAAGUGAAGAGUUUUCAAAACAUAAUACAAUGUUUUGCAAAAACAUUUUGUAGUGAAGAUUAUUUCUUACAUUUCUAUAAUCUUGAACAAAAUCAAACAACAAUAAAAACAUAAUAGUUUCAAAGUGUUUUGGGCUGUUAUACUUGCAAAAUGUCCAAUUAUAUUAUGGAAAAGCAGCAAUCAGACCCGCUUUGUGGUGCAUAUGCUCCAGUAAUGGCUGUUUGGUUUUGAGUUGCUUUGCUUUGUUGUCGUGUGGCAACAUGAGAGUGUCAGGGUUGAAAGGAAUCGUCUCCAUCUUGCCUCCAUACAACCCAUUUCGAAAUACUAUGAGACCUCCUUUAAUGUGGAUCUCUUAUUAUAAAAAGGACACUGUCACAUAUUAUCUAUCAUUUGGAAAGGAUAAUAGUUUAUGCCAUAUUUUAGUGCAAAAUAUAGAAAAAAUAUAUACAUUUUUAAGCUAUCGAGGGCCUAAGGAGUCUUUUAAGUCUUGCUUUAAGAGAGCUUAAGCAACAUUUUAAGCUGUAUAGGAAAAGAUAACUAGAGGUCAGAUAGAUGCUGAUGUGUUAUAAUCCUUCGUAGAUUAAAUGGACCACUGGGAUUUGUUUCAAGAUUACAGUGUUAUUUUAGUAUCCACACUGCGUAACUCAAGGACUAAACCGAUGUAUAAGAAAAUAGGUGAUUUUUAGGAAACUAGAGUCUGAGUUGUUUAGGGCUUUAUAUGCUAAGAGUUAAACUUUGCACAUAACUAAAUAGUGAAGGUAUUAAACUAUGUUGAGAAACUGCCCCACUGAGCACCUCACUAAAUCAUUCUGCACCACUUGCAGUUUCCACACAACAACAACACAACAACAAAACUUUAUUUAUAUACAGCUCUAUCUCCGAUAAGGACUCAGAGUGGUUUACUUGAGACCCAUAAUGCGAGGUCACAUCAGCAGUCUGCAACAUGUAGUUUUGACCAUUUCAAGCUCACUUAUGUGGUGGAGAAAUCUUUGGAAACAGGAAAUUUUCUCCUUUUGGUUCGAUCAUCAUCUAACCAGAAGUAUCAUCUUCCUUUCUUGCUGUUCUCCAAAGUGGAAAGUGAGAAUAACUGAGACUAAUUUACAACCCUUCUCUUUGCAUCUGGAUUGUAGAACUGGAAAAAAAUCCAACUCUACUAUAAUUAACAAAAAAAAUUGCAUUGCAUCAAUCAAUAUAAAAAAAAUCCAAACAUAUUUGUCACAAGUGACUAAACUACUAGAAUGUAUAUGUAUUAAAUUUAUGAUUGUCAAAAUGAUUAUUAUUAGUGUAAACAUUUGCCUAUGACGUAAACAAUAGGAGUAUAGUGUCAAGAUCAAGGGAAGGAUGUCGUAUUGUGGAGCGGCAAGCUGGUUUUCUGCUGCUCUAAAAACUAGGAUGCGGAGAAAUGGAUUCAAAUGGCAGGAAAGGAGAUUCUCCAUGAUCUUUAAGAAGAACACUUUGGCAGUAAGACUUAGCAGUUCAAUAGUGCUUCAGAGGCUGGUGAAGUCUCCUUGGCUGGAGGUUUUUAAGCUAUGGAUGGAUGGCCAUCCAUCAGGAAUGCUUUUAUUGCAUGGCAGGGAGCUAAACUGGAUGGCUACUGUGGUCUCUUCCAGUUCUAUGAACCUAUGGAAGCAUAAAGCCCAAGACACAAAAAAUACAUUUUUGACUUAAAUGCAUAAGAUCCUUUGUAUUGUGUCUUGCUUCUUUAAUAUCUAACACGUUUAGAUGGAAAUUAUUGUAUUGUUUUGCUUCCGCAGCAUUUGCAACAGCAGCUGUUCGGUUGUAAUUAACCAUCUGAAGUAAUGAAUUCUAAAUUGCAUUUGCAAUUACUUGUAACUAAAAUUAUCUGAACUAAAAAGAAAAUUAUUUUAGUCCUAGGGAUAGCUUUGCUGCUUUAUCACUUUGGUUAUACUAAAGCUUUAGAUUAAAGUAACUUGGUUUUUAAAUUAAAUGUCAAAUAUAAUUUGCCAGUGGAAACAUGAAGUGUAGUCAGCUGUAUUCUGAAGCAGGAAAUGCUAGCUCAGCAUCCUUUCCUAUUGAUAUAUACAUAAAAUCAGCUUUUUUGCCCUAUUAGAUCAUAUCUGGCAAAAUAUAAAUGUGACUUUACAUAUAUAUGCAUGCAUAUGCCACGUAUAAAUGUAGAAAAUAAACUAUACCCAAGGGUAAGAUUUUCUUACAGCUGUCAGAGCCACGGAUUCCAUAAUUUUAAUGUUUAUGGAAUAUGAAUGAGUUUUCACAUUUUUGUGAUUUUUCAUGAUAUUUGACAUUUUGAAAUAUCUAUAUGAAUAAAUAUCACUUACUGGGCUGCAGCCCAACAAAGUUUAUGUGGGUUUUUGACAGAGAACGCAAUUACUCAAGGAAGGCUGGACAAUUGGGGUUUUCAAGAUGCUUUAGACUCUUGUUUAGUUCAUCGGAGUAAGGUUUAAUUCCAUUAAAAAAAAAAAAACCACAUUAGGAAGACCUUCCUGAAUGCAAAAGUUGUUCAGCGGUGGAACUCUCUUGCCUCGGAGUAUGGUGGAGAUCCUUCUUUGGAGGCUUUUAAGCAAAGGCUGGAUGGAGUACUUUAUGCUUUUCCUGCGUGGAAGGGGGUUAGAUUAGAUGACCCAUGUGGUCUCUUCCAACUCUAUGAGUCUAUAAUCAUCUGUGACUUAAAUAAAAUUGAAUUAGACAGUAACCACAACUGAAGCUCAAAAUUCCGAAGGAUAAAAAGGAAAUGUUGUGCCAACUUCUCAGAAUGCAAAACUUGCUUACAGGCGGUCAAAAGAUUCUGACAUUAAUUGACAGAGGCAGCAAGCCUAGCACUGCCUAGUCCAAAAGUCCCUCACAUUAGUGACAGCGUGCUUUGUAUGAGAUUCUGGUGUCAGAAAGCUGGACACUUUGACAUCAAGGGAUUUGAAAGUGCCAUUCACUUUUCUCCAUCUUUCUUGCUUAGGCACUUGGAAGUACAUUUACCAGUUUGAAGGUGCUUUGAUACAGAAAGCCGCAGGAUGUAAAGUUCUCUUAGAGGGCAUUGUGCCCUAGAAUCUAUCUGUCUUGUGGUCAAGACACUUGAAGAGAAUGAAGAGAACUGAGCAGUCUCUGCUUGGUUUUAGUUACCUACAAACUGAAUUGUGACGAUAACGGAAACUAUCAUAGAAACAUAUUACAAAUUGCAAGCAUUACUGAUAAAGAAUGGGAGUGGGAGAUACACAUACAUACCUUCUCUGCCUUUACUCUACCUUUGGCACCGAGACUUAAGGCAUCUUUAAGGAUAAGGCAAAUUUAGGAAAUAUUCCACAUCAUUAAGACACAGAAAAUGUGAUAUUAAUAGAAAUAAAGCCAUUUUAAAAUGCACCCACUAAAAACCCCCCACCAUAAAUACAGUAUUAUAUUUAUACAAUAUAAAAUACAAUAAUAUAGUACAGUAGAGUCUCACUUACGGGCUGGCAGAAUGUUGGAUAAGCGAAUAUGUUGGAUAGUAAGGAGGGAUUAAGGAAAAGCCUAUUAAACAUCAAAAUAGGUUAUGAUUUUACAAAUUAAGCACCAAAGUAUCAUGUUAUACAACAAAUUUGACAGGAAAAGUAGUUCAAUAUGCAGUAAUGUUAUGUUGUAAUUAUACUAUUUACGAAUUUAGCACCAAAAUAUCAUGAUAUAUUGAAAACAUUGACUACAAAAAUGCGUUGGAUAAUUCAGAAUGUUGGAUAAGUGAAUGUUGGAUAAGUGAGACUCUACUGUAUUUUAUUAAAAUCUCUUAUCCAUCCAUAGUCAAAUGUUCCCCCAAUUUGGAAACUAUAAGAACUAUUAUAAAACAGUGCCACCAACUCCUGUUCUAACAAGACAACCCAGAAGAUACCAUGACCCCCUGGGGAGAUAAGGCAGCCUAUAAAUAAAGAUUGUUGUUGUUGUUUUUGUUGUUGUUGUUGUUGUUGUUGUUACUAUUAUUAUGGCCAAAUGACAUCAAAAGCCACUGAAGCUUCAAGCGGAACCAGUAAAGGUACAUCUGUCUUGUUCAUUCAUCAACCAAAGCCAUCUUUGUUCCAAAAACAGUCUGAAUCAUUACAUUUUGAAACUCGUUCAUGGAUUCCACAUCCGCUUCUAUAUCUUUAGAAAAACCACUACCACGCCCCCUUUGCUAUACACACAGGCACAAUAUUUAGAGAGCAUCUGCAGCUAACCCUACAGAAAACUCAUUAAAAAAUGUAAUGAAAUGAGUUGGAUUCAAGUGUUUCUCAUAGAAAGCUGUUUCACUUCUGUGGAAUAGGUAUAGAGAUUUUGUUUAAAAAAAUACAUAUAAUUCAUCCAGAAAUUUACAGGGAGUCAUUUGGAACUGACCUAUUUUUUGCAUGUUUUGGCAAAAGAAUUUGGACUAGUACUCAGUAGGUAUGGGAGAGAGAGAUUGCAAAUGCAUCCAUAUUUAUGUUCACUUAUUCUCGUAACAUAGAGAGGCUACAGAUCCAUGGGUUACUUCAGACACAUAAUGAUCCUGAUUUUCAGGAUUUUACAAAAAAUACCAGCCGUUGGACUAAAACUAGCUCAGACUUUUUCAUUUCUUCUAUUCAUUGCAGGAGCUGUGUGUGUAAACUAGACUGAUAAAGAUGGAAAUGUGAAAAAUACAUGAGGGAAGACUAGUAUAGGUUGUCUUUGUGCCUAUUACAAAAUAAUGCCCUACCAGUGUUUACAAUUCACUAUCCCAACAUCUCACUAAAGUUAAUGUUUAUGGAUUUGCCAUUUCCUAUAAGGUUUGCCACUCCUUCAUUGAGAUGAUGGUGGAAUAAUAAUAAUAAUAAUAAUAAUAAUAAUAAUAAUAAUAAUAAUAAUAAUAAUAAUAAUAAUAAUAAUAACUUUAUUUUUAUACCCCGCCCCAUCUCCCCGAAGGGACUCGGGGCGGCUCACAUGGGGCCAUGCCCAAUACAAUUAAAAAACCAAUCACAAAGCCAUGACACAUUUAACCCGAUAAAAACAUCAACAUCAAUAAAAACAAUCAUUAAAAAGCAUAAAUCAUGCAAUAUUAAAAUCAGGGGACUAAAUUCAUAGAUCCCGAGCAAAGUGCAGAGAAUACUAAAUGGAGACAGGUAAUUUCACAGUUAAAAUGGACAAUAAAGUGCGGUGUAAUAAUGGUAAAAACAUCAGGAAUGGGGCAAUUAUAGAAUGGGCAGACAGGUCAAUCCAACAACGAUUAAAUGUCAAAGGCCUUUUGGAAGAGCCAGGUUUUUAAGCUCUUCCGGAAUGAGAGGAGGGUAGGGGCCUUUUAACUAUGUGCAGAAAACAUUCUGAAUCAGCACCAAGCUAGCUAAAAUAUAGUCAUCAUUCCACCAAAAGAGAGGAAUCCCGUAAUAUGUGUUCAUUCAUAUCAUGGUUUGAAACAUUCAUUUUGUCUUCCAGAUCUUUAUUUGUUUGGUCUUGUAGCAUGAGGAGUAGCUCUUCUUUGUAACUCACAAUCCUUCACAAAUAAUUUAUAGCUGAAAACACAUGCAGUAUUUAUUAUUUCCCAGUAAGAACACACAGUAGGAGGAGUUCAGGUAAGUAACAGGGCGGUGGAGUGAGGCUCAGACAUGAGUUGCUUUUUAAUGUUAGAUGAUGGGCAAGCACUAAUGAUCGCUCCUUGCACCAGCCGCUCACACAAGAAAGAUGCCAUCUUCCGUUUUCUCAUAGCAUAUUCAGUUCCAUUUAAAUAUUGCAAGCAGCAGAACUGCAAAUGUUAGCCUAAUCAUGAAUAAAAAAUGGAGAUAUUUUAUUCUAAAAAUAAUAAUUAUGGAUAGGGUAGCUGUAUUGUAUUAUUUUAAAUAUUUCAUUUUAUAUGUAGACUCCAGGCUGCUGCAGAAUUGCCAGUGUUUUAUAUAUUUUUUUAUUUGUUCUAAGGCAUUAAAAAUACAAGACGGAGGCUAUUGCAAGGAUAUUGGAGGAAGGUUAUUUCUUUUUGACAGGGACUGUCAGUAAUUAUAGGCUGUGGGAAAAAGUGCUGCAGCCAGUUUCACUGAAAUGGUGGUAGAAAAAGCCAGAAGAGUGCAACCCAACUCGCAUUGUACAAAUGACGGUGCCUCUCUUUAGUAGAAAAGGACCAUCUUUUCCAACCAUUAAAACCUUUCUGUACACAGUACACAAAGAAUAAAAAUAUUUGUGCAUGGAUGACUACCUUCUGAUAUUUAAACUGCCGGCUGCUAAAAGUGAUUAGAUGUCCUGCUGAGGCAAACACAUUUUCCACCCAUCUUUAAUAAAAUAUUGUAAGGAAUCGCUGGAAGACCUUGCUUGUGCUUUCACCUACCCGCUUUUUUUAAAAAAACUAUUAUUGCAGCCUUGUGAAAGAAUCAGUAUUGACUCCUGACAGGCACUUUUGGAUAGGAGGAGCCUUCUCUUGUAGCUUUCUGUGUGUUUUGUCAAAUCCCAUACUUUCAGCUGAAGUGUAAAGUGAAAGCCGAUGUCAGGGAAUGCCUUCAAGCAUGAGCUGGUGCUGGUCUCCUGCGAUUUACUUUUAUUUUAAAAAUGAGGGAGAGAGAGGGAGAGGGAGAGAAAUCAGAUUGAAUUGUAAAAUGAUGGCAAUCUAACUGGACAUAAACACAUUUCUUGCCAGCUCAGCAACUGUUCUGUAUCAUUAGUGGAAGAAGGUACAGUAGAAAGAAAUUUAUUUAUUUAAUGGAAAAUAUGUCCAGAUGAGAAGAUGGUGACUUAGUGGUAGCAUUUUUAUUUGAGAUGUAUAAAACCAUAAUUGUGUUUCAUCUCA